Canis lupus familiaris (dog) is the source of this 133-nucleotide non-coding RNA. RefSeq annotates it as microRNA mir-8799e-2. The record is from RefSeq and is marked provisional. Lineage: Eukaryota; Metazoa; Chordata; Mammalia; Carnivora; Canidae. The transcript has a single exon.
CCUGGCCUCUGCCUGUCCCGGGGGGAAAUCGGAUCCUGGGCUGUGUCCGCCGGCGCCCUGGGCUCCUAGGCCUGCGCUGUUGGAAUCGCGCUCCUGGCCGUGCAGCCCCCUCCGUGGAGCCACGCCCGAGCCC